GACGAACGCUGGCGGCGUGCUUAACACAUGCAAGUCGAACGGAAAGGCCCUGCUUUUGUGGGGUGCUCGAGUGGCGAACGGGUGAGUAACACGUGAGUAACCUGCCCUUGACUUUGGGAUAACUUCAGGAAACUGGGGCUAAUACCGGAUAGGAGCUCCUGCUGCAUGGUGGGGGUUGGAAAGUUUGGGCGGUUGGGGAUGGACUCGCGGCUUAUCAGCUUGUUGGUGGGGUAGUGGCUUACCAAGGCUUUGACGGGUAGCCGGCCUGAGAGGGUGACCGGCGACAUUGGGACUGAGAUACGGCCCAGACUCCUACGGGAGGCAGCAGUGGGGAAUAUUGCACAAUGGGCGGAAGCCUGAUGCAGCAACGCCGCGUGCGGGAUGACGGCCUUCGGGUUGUGAACCGCUUUCGCCUGUGACGAAGCGUGAGUGACGGUAAUGGGUAAAGAAGCACCGGCUAACUACGUG
Molecule: ribosomal RNA, 468 nt
Filed under: uncultured bacterium
Lineage: Bacteria
Description: partial 16S ribosomal RNA
Rfam family: Bacterial small subunit ribosomal RNA
Source: RNAcentral